This is a long non-coding RNA of Thamnophis elegans (Western terrestrial garter snake), 2618 nucleotides long. RefSeq lists it as uncharacterized. The record is from RefSeq and is a predicted model, not a curated record. NCBI's taxonomy places the organism in Eukaryota, Metazoa, Chordata, Lepidosauria, Squamata, Natricidae. The transcript is spliced from 3 exons.
CUAAGGGCGGCGGGUCGGCCCUCCUCUGUCUCCCUUGGAUGUUAUCCCCGCGAUUCUCAGUGCCCCCCUCCCGAUGAGGGUUGCUCCUUUGCACUCAGGAUGGUGGAAGUUGGGACGGCAGAUAAAAGAAGGGCGGGUGUGAACCCCAUAAGUGAAUUGUGCAGCCAAGGAUUUCUGGAAAUGCGCAGCCUCCUCCAGUCGCGUGUAAAAGUCUCGCCCAGUUCCUUCGUGGAUGGAUCUGGAUGGAGGACAAGACUACUAUGUCACUCAUGAGUCUUCGGAUUUGAGGGGGGGGGGCGAAGGAAUAAACAAUCGGGGAGAACUUUAUGAAAUAAAUCUUGCAUGCAUCCAGAAGAACGCUCUGCUCUGCUCAACAAUGUUUGUUGGCAUUAAAAAAAAAGUUCCUACUAGAAGCCGCUUUAAUCCCUUUCCUUCCUGUAUACACCAGUAUGUUUAGUCUGGAGGCUGCUACCUACCUUAUAUAUCAACAAGUUUGCUUCGCCACAAAUUGUAGCCUCGGUACCUUAUCUGGGAUAUUAUCUCAUUUUCAGUCCUUUUGGACAACAGUCCUUUUGUACUUCUGGUAUGUUUUUUUUAAAAUAUAUGAUCAUAUUAAUACAUAAAAUCUCUGGGUUUCAAAUCCAAGUGAAUUAUGGGCAAAUUAUUUCUGAGUUUAAAAAUAUUCCACAUUGUCAUAAACUCUACUUGGAAAUAAGAUUUCCAAGAUGUAGGUACUUUUCAGGCUGUGUGCUGGUCACAAGUCGUAACUAACCAAAACUGCUGAGACUAAUGAUCCCCUCUACUCACUUAGCUUUAUAUAUACUUUAUUACUAGCUUUAAACUGUUUUUCUCUUCUGAUGACAGUCUUGUUUAUUAAAAGAACUGAAUAAUGUUUUUAAAAGCUCUGUUGAUUUCAUCAUUACCUAACUUUCUUGCUUCUCAGCAAAUGUUGUUUUCCAGUGAUCAUGUGACUAGGAAAAAGGUUUAGGCCAAUCAUCAAGCAAAAUUACAAAUAAUGUGAAAGUUUUUUCUUCUGAACUAAUUUCACUUGGAAAUAUUCCACUUAUGAGAUUAAGAGAACAUGCAUUGAACAGUAUUUAAAAAUAGUUUAAAUUUCACAAGGUUUGUUAUAGAGUAUUUCUAAGUACACUGUAAUUCUUUAUUUUUAAAUAUAUGUGCUUAACAUUUCCACCUUGAACUGCCCUAAAUUGACUCAGGGAACAGGGUUACUUUUAUUUACUCCAGAUCCCAGUAUGUCUCCUGUGAUCUAGCUGUGACCUCAGAAAUGCUCUGGAUAUUCAUUAAUAACUGCAUAGGCAAAGCUUAUUACAUAUGUUCCUCCACAGUAAACAUAAAGCAAUCAAGAACAGUGGUUCUUCUGAAUAGCAUGUUGUUGUGAAAGCAAGUAACAGAAUAAUAUAAAGCUAUUUAAGCUAUUUCCACACAACUCCAAGGAAAAUGUCUGUGUACAUUGAUAAGGCUUGCCCUGACGGUCAACAAACUUUUGUUCUUUUGGACCAGUUGAGGGAAUGAAUUCCAGAAUCAACAUUUGGUCAGCAUGUUCAAUCUCUUUUACCAAUAGACAACAUGACUUGUGGAAACAGAAAUGAUCUUCCCGUUGAAGUGAUUUAGACUGUAAGUAAGUAUAGGUUCCUUUCUGAGUUGCAUUUUUCCCCUAAGCAGACAGCCAAAUGCCAAGGAAAGUAUUGUCCCAUGUGCAUUUCAGAUAUAGUGCUGAGUUUUCAGAUGGCUAAAUAGAACGUUGGUCUUACCUGAACGUGUCUUUUCAGGGGAAGAGAGGGAGUGGUCACGUGUGGGUAUUCUCAAAGCCUGAUUGAUCCAAAGACAGAGAGUAAACUUCUUAAAUACUCCUGCCUUCCAUUCUAGCCUGGUUUCCUCGAAGGCGAGCAACAGAACUGAAACAACAACAACAACAAAACACCCUGGGAACCAUUCGGCUCUCCCCUUGGCCCCGAUAACCUAACCAGAGUGGGUCAUGACCACUCCCUCUCUUCCCCUGAAAAGACACGUUGAGAUAAGACCAACGUUCUUUUUCCAGUAGAAGAGAGGGAGUGGUCACAUGUGGGACAUACCUAAGCUUAGUCCUGGGGAGGGAGAAAAAAUCAACAACUAAGGCCCAAGGGAAGUAUCAGCAGCCACCCUCUGCAGGACCUUCCGACCAAAGGAAGCAUCCGCUGAGGCGAACUCAUCCAGACGAUAAUGCCAGAUGAACGGUGUCGGGGACACCCAAGUAGCGGCCCAGCAGAUGUCUUCAAAAGGAGCCCUAGUGGCCCAAGCCACCGUGGUCACAGCACUCCUGGUGAAAUGGGCAGUUAUUCCCGAUGGAACAGGACGACCUGCCGCCCCAUAGGCCUCCACGAUGGUCUGUCGCAGCCAACGGCCAAUGGUGGCCGAAGACACCCUGGCCCCCAACGUCCCCGGUUGGAAAGAAACAAAUAAGGCCUCCGUCCUGCGGACCCCCGCAGUCUGUUGGAGAUAAAUGCACAAAGCGUGACACACGUCUAAAUGGUGCCAGAGCCUCUCCCUAUCGAAGAGCCGAGGUGGCGCAGUGGUUAGAGUACGAUACUGCAGGCCACUUCAGCUGACUGUUAUCUGCA